UACGUAGGCAGCGAGCGUUGUUCGGAGUUACUGGGCGUAAAGGGUGUGUAGGCGGUCUUUUAAGUUUGGUGUGAAAUCUCCCGGCUCAACCGGGAGGGUGCGCCGAAUACUGAGAGACCUGGAGUGCGGGAGAGGAAAGUGGAAUUCCUGGUGUAGCGGUGAAAUGCGCAGAUAUCAGGAGGAACACCGGUGGCGAAGGCGGGUCUCUGGGCAGAACUGACGCUGAGGAGCGAAAGCGUGGGGAGCGAACAGG
This 253-nucleotide ribosomal RNA is filed under the name uncultured bacterium. RNAcentral's name for it is "partial 16S ribosomal RNA". It matches the Rfam family "Bacterial small subunit ribosomal RNA", at positions 524 to 776 of the family's 1533-position model. The record is from RNAcentral.